CCUACGGGUGGCUGCAGUGGGGAAUAUUGGACAAUGGGGGCAACCCUGAUCCAGCCAUGCCGCGUGUGUGAAGAAGGCCCUCGGGUUAUAAAGCACUUUCAGUGAGGAAGAACGCCUGGUGGUUAAUACCCAUCAGGAAAGACAUCACUCACAGAAGAAGCACCGGCUAACUCCGUGCCAGCAGCCGCGGUAAUACGGAGGGUGCGAGCGUUAAUCGGAAUUACUGGGCGUAAAGCGCGCGUAGGUGGCUUGAUAAGCCGGUUGUGAAAGCCCCGGGCUCAACCUGGGAACGGCAUCCGGAACUGUCAAGCUAGAGUGCAGGAGAGGAAGGUAGAAUUCCCGGUGUAGCGGUGAAAUGCGUAGAGAUCGGGAGGAAUACCAGUGGCGAAGGCGGCCUUCUGGACUGACACUGACACUGAGGUGCGAAAGCGUGGGUAGCAAACAGGAUUAGAUACCCCUGUAGUC
RNAcentral lists this ribosomal RNA (465 nucleotides) under Vreelandella stevensii. RNAcentral's name for it is "partial 16S ribosomal RNA". It matches the Rfam family "Bacterial small subunit ribosomal RNA", at positions 338 to 795 of the family's 1533-position model. The record is from RNAcentral. Lineage: Bacteria; Pseudomonadati; Pseudomonadota; Gammaproteobacteria; Oceanospirillales; Halomonadaceae.